This 496-nucleotide ribosomal RNA is filed under the name uncultured bacterium. Its description in RNAcentral is "partial 16S ribosomal RNA". It matches the Rfam family "Bacterial small subunit ribosomal RNA", at positions 28 to 507 of the family's 1533-position model. The record is from RNAcentral.
GAUGAACGCUGGCGGCGUGCCUAAUACAUGCAAGUCGAGCGAACAGAUGAGGAGCUUGCUCCUCUGACGUUAGCGGCGGACGGGUGAGUAACACGUGGAUAACCUACCUAUAAGACUGGGAUAACUUCGGGAAACCGGAGCUAAUACCGGAUAAUAUAUUGAACCGCAUGGUUCAAUAGUGAAAGACGGUUUUGCUGUCACUUAUAGAUGGAUCCGCGCCGCAUUAGCUAGUUGGUAAGGUAACGGCUUACCAAGGCAACGAUGCGUAGCCGACCUGAGAGGGUGAUCGGCCACACUGGAACUGAGACACGGUCCAGACUCCUACGGGAGGCAGCAGUAGGGAAUCUUCCGCAAUGGGCGAAAGCCUGACGGAGCAACGCCGCGUGAGUGAUGAAGGUCUUCGGAUCGUAAAACUCUGUUAUUAGGGAAGAACAAAUGUGUAAGUAACUAUGCACGUCUUGACGGUACCUAAUCAGAAAGCCCGGCUAACUACGUG